UACAGAGGGGGCAAGCGUUAUUCGGGAUUAUUGGGCGUAAAGGGCGCGUAGGCGGCUUGGCAAGUGGAUGGUGAAAUCCCUCGGCUUAACCGAGGAACUGCCGUCCAAACUGCUUCGCUUGAGACCGGGAGAGGUGAGUGGAAUUCCCAGUGUAGCGGUGAAAUGCGUAGAUAUUGGGAGGAACACCAGUGGCGAAGGCGGCUCACUGGACCGGUACUGACGCUGAUGCGCGAAAGCGUGGGGAGCAAACGGG
Molecule: ribosomal RNA, 253 nt
Filed under: uncultured bacterium
Lineage: Bacteria
Description: partial 16S ribosomal RNA
Rfam family: Bacterial small subunit ribosomal RNA
Source: RNAcentral